UCCCCUGAGCCUCAGGUUGACCAUGAUGGAUAUUUAGGGCCUAUUCAGGUUCUACAGAGUUCUACUACCCCAAUCUUUGAGGGAUUGUUGAUUCAUUUGCUGACUUAUUUGGAGGGUUUUUCUUUGAGUGCACCUGGUGUUCCUCCAACUCUGAGUAUUGUACCUUUAUCUAUGCCAGAGUCUACCUAUAGUUAUCCUCCAGCUCUGAGUGUCGAUUCUUUAGUGGUACCGAUAUCUUCUUAUGGUACUCCACAGAUCUCGAGAGUUAUUCCUCCUUCGAUGCCAGUAUAAGAGUAUGGUAUUC
This 304-nucleotide long non-coding RNA is filed under the name Capsicum annuum. Its description in RNAcentral is "long non-coding RNA (CANN_LNC017320)". Lineage: Eukaryota; Viridiplantae; Streptophyta; Magnoliopsida; Solanales; Solanaceae. The record is from RNAcentral.